Molecule: unclassified non-coding RNA, 209 nt
Filed under: uncultured fungus
Lineage: Eukaryota; Fungi
Description: sequence contains ITS1
Source: RNAcentral
UUAACUAUUAUAUAGUACUCAGACAACACUAAUAUUCAGAGUUUGGGUUUCCUCCGGCAGGCGACUCCCAGGCCCGAAGGCGCUGGGGCUAUCCCCCGAGGGGGGCAGCAGCCUGCCAAAGCAACAUGGUAUAAAUACACAAGGGUGGGAGGUCUACCCGUGAGGGCAUGAACUCUGUAAUGAUCCUUCCGCAGGUUCACCUACGGAAA